CCUACGGGUGGCAGCAGUGGGGAAUAUUGCACAAUGGGGGAAACCCUGAUGCAGCAACGCCGCGUGAGUGAAGAAGUAUUUCGGUAUGUAAAGCUCUAUCAGCAGGGAAGAAGGAAGACGGUACCUGACUAAGAAGCCCCGGCUAACUACGUGCCAGCAGCCGCGGUAAUACGUAGGGGGCGAGCGUUAUCCGGAUUUACUGGGUGUAAAGGGAUCGUAGACGGUUAAUCAAGUCUGAAGUGAAAGCCUGCGGCUCAACUGCGGAACGGCUUUGGAAACUGAGUAACUAGAGUGCUGGAGGGGCAGGCGGAAUUCCUGGUGUAGCGGUGAAAUGCGUAGAUAUCAGGAGGAACACCGGUGGCGAAGGCGGCCUGCUGGACAGUAACUGACGUUGAGGCUCGAAAGCGUGGGGAGCAAACAGGAUUAGAUACCCUAGUAGUC
RNAcentral lists this ribosomal RNA (441 nucleotides) under uncultured bacterium. Its description in RNAcentral is "partial 16S ribosomal RNA". It matches the Rfam family "Bacterial small subunit ribosomal RNA", at positions 338 to 795 of the family's 1533-position model. The record is from RNAcentral.